GUUUUUUCUGUAGUGUAGUGGUUAUCACGUCUGCCUAACACGCAGAAGGUCCCCAGUUCGAGCCUGGGCGGAAACA
This is a non-coding RNA of Nematostella vectensis (starlet sea anemone), 76 nucleotides long. The record is from the annotation of a RefSeq genome assembly. Lineage: Eukaryota; Metazoa; Cnidaria; Anthozoa; Actiniaria; Edwardsiidae.